GGAGAGGUGGCCGAGUGGUUGAAGGCGCACGACUCGAAAUCGUGUGUAGGGUCAAACCUAUCGAGGGUUCGAAUCCCUCCCUCUCCGCCA
This 90-nucleotide transfer RNA is filed under the name Candidatus Saccharimonadota bacterium. RNAcentral describes it as "Candidatus Saccharibacteria bacterium tRNA-Ser". It matches the Rfam family "tRNA". From Rfam's summary of the family: Transfer RNA (tRNA) molecules are approximately 80 nucleotides in length. Lineage: Bacteria; Candidatus Saccharimonadota. The record is from RNAcentral. RNAcentral also lists the same sequence under 2 other names.